ACAACAACAACAAAUCCUUCAACAAAUUCUGCAACAACAACUGAUUCCAUGUAGGGAUGUCGUCUUGCAACAACCCAACAUAGCACAUGCAAGCUCACAAGUAUCGCAACAAAGUUACCAACUGUUGCAACAAUUAUGUUGUCAGCAACUGUGGCAGACCCCCGAGCAGUCACGGUGCCAAGCCAUCCACAAUGUCAUUCAUGCUAUUAUUUUGCAUCAACAACAACAACAACAACAACAACAACAACAACAACAACAACAACAACAACAACCGUCGAGCCAGGUCUCCUACCAGCAGCCUCAGCAACAAUAUCCAUCAGGCCAGGGCUCGUUCCAGCCAUCUCAGCAAAACCCACAGGCCCAGGGCUUUGUCCAACCUCAGCAACUGCCGCAGUUCGAGGAAAUAAGGAACCUAGCGCUACAGACGCUACCAGCAAUGUGCAAUGUCUACAUCCCUCCAUAUUGCUCGACCACCAUUGCGCCAUUUGGCAUCAUGAGUACUAACUGA
RNAcentral lists this ribosomal RNA (508 nucleotides) under Triticum aestivum (bread wheat). RNAcentral's name for it is "partial small subunit ribosomal RNA". Lineage: Eukaryota; Viridiplantae; Streptophyta; Magnoliopsida; Poales; Poaceae. The record is from RNAcentral.